GACGAACGCUGGCGGCGUGCUUAACACAUGCAAGUCGAACGAAGUGGCGAACGGGUGAGUAACGCGUAAUCAACCUGCCCUUCAGAGGGGGACAACAGUUGGAAACGACUGCUAAUACCGCAUACUGAAGGAGGGGAUUGCGGCUGAUUAGCUAGUUGGAGGGGUAACGGCCCACCAAGGCAAUGAGCAGUAGCCGGUCUGAGAGACUGAACGUCCACAUUGGGACGGAUACACGGCCCAGCCGCCUACGGUAGGCAGCAGUGGGGAAUCUUCCGCAAUGGACGAAAGUCUGACGGAGCAACGCCGCGUGAGUGAUGACGGCCUUCGGGGUGUAAAGCUCUGUUAAUCGGGACGCGGUACCGGAAUAGAAAGCCACGGCUAACUACGUGCCAGCAGCCGCGGUAAUUC
Molecule: ribosomal RNA, 408 nt
Filed under: uncultured bacterium
Lineage: Bacteria
Description: partial 16S ribosomal RNA
Rfam family: Bacterial small subunit ribosomal RNA
Source: RNAcentral